UUUUCUUAAACUAUAAGUAAUAGGUCAACUAUAUUUGUUGUAUGGAAGCAUUGUUAGCUGUACAUGUCUGCCUGGCAUGGUUCAUCUGACCUUGACCUCAUUUUCAUGGUUCAUUGGUCUUUGUUUAGCUAUCUUGGUUAAUGUUAAGUUGAUGUGACAGUUGUAAUAAAGCUUUAUACUUAGGACUAUCAACAUAAUAUCAAUGAUUAGUAAAGAAGGCGAGACAUUUCAGUGUGUGCACUCUUGU
This 247-nucleotide long non-coding RNA is filed under the name Mytilus galloprovincialis (Mediterranean mussel). Lineage: Eukaryota; Metazoa; Mollusca; Bivalvia; Mytilida; Mytilidae. The record is from RNAcentral.